UGCCAGCAGCCGCGGUAAUACGAAGGGUGCUAGCGUUGUUCGGAAUUACUGGGCGUAAAGCGCGCGUAGGCGGCUUGGUCAGUUGGGUGUGAAAUCCCCGGGCUUAACCUGGGAACUGCAUUCAAUACUGCCAGGCUGGAGUAUGGGAGAGGGUAGUGGAAUUCCACGUGUAGCGGUGAAAUGCGUAGAUAUGUGGAGGAACACCCGUGGCGAAGGCGACUGCCUGGCCCAAUACUGACGCUGAGGUGCGAAAGCAUGGGGAGCAAACAGGAUUAGAUA
Molecule: ribosomal RNA, 279 nt
Filed under: uncultured bacterium
Lineage: Bacteria
Description: partial 16S ribosomal RNA
Rfam family: Bacterial small subunit ribosomal RNA
Source: RNAcentral